Molecule: long non-coding RNA, 280 nt
Filed under: Phasianus colchicus (ring-necked pheasant)
Lineage: Eukaryota; Metazoa; Chordata; Aves; Galliformes; Phasianidae
Description: lncRNA (ENSPCLG00000008020.1)
Source: RNAcentral
GAUAUCUGAGAUGAGUAAGAACAGAGAGCACAGUAUAGUAUCUGAGAAAAGAAUAAUGUCUGAUUUUUUUAUUCAUCACUUUUUUUUUUUUUUUUCUUGGCAUCUUUCAGAUGGAAUGGAUAGAUUUCCUAGACCUACAGCUUACUCUCAACUGAAAUGUACCUGGUGUAGACAAUACAGAUCAACCACAGGAAAGACAUCUUCAGAAAAUAAUCUGAAAGUUAAGGGAAUAUCUUCAGGAGUAAAGCACAUGUCAGUGUUGUCAGAUGUUACAUGGUAG